RNAcentral lists this ribosomal RNA (465 nucleotides) under uncultured bacterium. Its description in RNAcentral is "bacterial SSU rRNA". It matches the Rfam family "Bacterial small subunit ribosomal RNA", at positions 917 to 1382 of the family's 1533-position model. The record is from RNAcentral.
GGGCCCGCACAAGCGGCGGAGCAUGCGGCUUAAUUCGAUGCAACGCGAAGAACCUUACCUAGGCUUGACAGUUGGGGAAAACUGGCAGAGAUGUCAGGUCCGCAAGGGCCCCAAAACAGGUGGUGCAUGGCUGUCGUCAGCUCGUGUCGUGAGAUGUUGGGUUAAGUCCCGCAACGAGCGCAACCCUCGUCGUAUGUUGCCAGCAAGUAAAGUUGGGGACUCAUACGAGACUGCCGGGGUCAACUCGGAGGAAGGUGGGGAUGACGUCAAGUCAUCAUGCCCCUUAUGUCUAGGGCUGCACGCAUGCUACAAUGGCUGGUACAAAGGGCUGCGAUACCGCAAGGUGGAGCGAAUCCCAAAAAGCCAGUCUCAGUUCGGAUUGGGGUCUGCAACUCGACCCCAUGAAGUCGGAGUCGCUAGUAAUCGCAGAUCAGCAACGCUGCGGUGAAUACGUUCCCGGGCCUU